UACGUAGGGUGCAAGCGUUAAUCGGAAUUACUGGGCGUAAAGCGUGCGCAGGCGGCUUUGCAAGACAGACGUGAAAUCCCCGGGCUUAACCUGGGAACUGCAUUUGUGACUGCAUGGCUAGAGUGCGGCAGAGGGGGAUGGAAUUCCGCGUGUAGCAGUGAAAUGCGUAGAUAUGCGGAGGAACACCGAUGGCGAAGGCAAUCCCCUGGGCCUGCACUGACGCUCAUGCACGAAAGCGUGGGGAGCAAACAGG
Molecule: ribosomal RNA, 253 nt
Filed under: uncultured bacterium
Lineage: Bacteria
Description: partial 16S ribosomal RNA
Rfam family: Bacterial small subunit ribosomal RNA
Source: RNAcentral